Long non-coding RNA from Gavialis gangeticus (Gharial), 908 nucleotides. RefSeq lists it as uncharacterized. The transcript has 3 exons. NCBI's taxonomy places the organism in Eukaryota, Metazoa, Chordata, Crocodylia, Gavialidae. The record is from RefSeq and is a predicted model, not a curated record.
GGUAUGGUGGUGAGGGGAGCAUCCAAGCAGGAUGCAUGCUGCAGCAGGGUGGUGGGCACAAAGUGCAAUGGUGUGCAGACAUAGGACAUGCAGCCUCAGGGGCCCACAGGACACAGGACCCCCCCCGGUGCAGGCCAGGGAGCAGGCAGUCCCUAUCUACUUAGAAGUUGGACAGCUGUGAUCUAGAAGGUGCCCUGUUAAAACCAAUGGGAUUAAUUGCAAAGGUAAAAUACUCCUUGGCAUGAGAAAGGUCAGCAGAAUCUGGUCCUGAAUAUUUUUAUUAUUAUUUCUAUGCUAAAUACCUUCUGCAUACUGAUGUUGCACUAGAUCACGGGUGGUGCAUGAAAUGAAAAACAUUGCUCUAUGCUUGGGUUUCGCUCUCUGCUUGCUGCCUGCUUUCAGGGUAUGUAAAAAAACCUCCAUCGGUCAGGUCAGAGGCACGCUGGAAUGACUGCUAUUCCCAUACGUCUCGAACUCCAAAAAGACAGGUUUUGUUGUGGUUACUUCCUGCUUCUCUCUUUCUGCAGCCCCCUCAGCCAGCUGGGUGGCUGAGCCAUUGAAAAAGAGAACCUGUUUCCUUUCAUGUGUUAUUGAUUCAUGAACAAAACAAUAACUUUUCUCCUCACGGAUGAGGAAGUCACUUUUUCUUUUAAUGCAUGGUGUGUUAUCAUGGGUCAUCAUCUGCAAGGUUGGAACCUGUAAACUGACCGCCUGGACCUCUGCCACAUGAGCCAACAGGAACUGUUAGCAAUAGUUUGGAAAUCUCAGGUGUGUGUAUAUAGGGCGUGACUUGCUGAUUUUAGGUAGUCAAUGAGACCUAAGUCUGAGCAGAGAGGAUGUGAAUUGCCACAGAAGCAGGAUGGGUGCAUUUUGUUCUGCAAAAGUGUGAGUGAUUCCACAAGGUGCAG